Molecule: small RNA, 3363 nt
Filed under: Arabidopsis thaliana (thale cress)
Lineage: Eukaryota; Viridiplantae; Streptophyta; Magnoliopsida; Brassicales; Brassicaceae
Description: ATSL032940
Source: RNAcentral
UAAAUAAAUGAUAAGAGCCAUAAGAGUUCAAGAAAAACCCAAUUCACUAGACUAGACUCAUAGAGUUUAAGAAAAGCUUCUCCUUAAGAACAAGAGCCAAAGAAAAGAAAAGGAAACAUUGAUCCAAGAAAAAAUCGAAAUAUGCCUUUAGUGCAAAAGGGUAGACUUAGGAUCAUCAUUGGGUUUAGAGAUAGGACCAUCUACUUGUUAUUCACGGUUUAUGUCAUUGGGUAGAUGGGGUGCUAUUCUUGUAUGCAUAGGUUGGCACUUACCUUUAGCAUUCUUCUAAAGCUCAGUCCUUUUUCAUUGAGAGUCCCCUGCUACUAAAAUCUGAACCACUAAAAAGGGACCAUCUUUGUCUCAUAACCUGUCAUUAGCCAAAUGAGUUCACUAGCGAUGCAUAUCUUGAUUCAUGUUUUUGAACUUAAUGAAUGUUAAAGGGAUUGGUUGAUCUUGACGCAUUGUGCAUUUGAGUGUAGGUUUGGAUCAUAACAGAGCAUGGCUAAAGUUUUUGAGUAGAAACCGAUCACCUCGCAUAUUAGAACUGUUAGCUGGCACAUUGAUCUUAAUUGUCAUAUCUCAUGCUUUGGUUCUGAAUCCCCAACUUCAAACCUCUCCUUCUGCUUAUGUCUUCUUGUUUGCUUGAGGGCAAACAAAGACUAAGUUUGGGGGAGUUGAUAUGUCUAUAAUUUGCAUGAUUUAGGCAUUCAUUCUUCACCACUUUGUCAUUGUUUCAUCCACAUUUCAUCCCAUUAGGAGUCGUUUUAGUGUGUUUUACAUACUUAGGACGAUUUUGCAUUAGAGUACUCUAUCGCAGCCUCGGAGUCCUGCCAGGGCAAAUCACUCUAUCGCAACCCCGGAGAAGCAAGCAGCUCAGUUUCACUCAAUCGCGAAGCCGGAGGAAUCACCCCAUCAGAACCACUCGAUCACCACUCUAUCACCAGGAAGCCUAUCUGCUCAUUCUGCACUCAACCAGACAAGCUGAGAACAAAGAAGAGAAGAGAAGCCGAAGAAACCACUGGAUCACACCCUCAUGACAUCCACUCGAUCGCACUCGAUCACAAGGUCGCUGGACCAUUAAAUCUCGACUUCACUGCAUUUCACUCGAUCGCAAGACGGAGCCCCUGAAGCCCAGUUUGAUCAAUGACAUAUUCGGUCGCAGGAUCAUGACGUAAAGAUUCGCUAUAUAUUUAGUUUCCUUAUUUGUUUUAUUUCUCGCUUAUAUAAACUGCCUCUUAGGGUUUUCCCUAGGGCGUCAGCUAUUAUCCGCUAUUAUCCGUUUUUAUCUCGUUUUUACAUUUUCGCAACUUUGAUAGCCGCAGUGUUUCUCCUGCGACUUUGUAGUUUCGUUUUCAAGUAUUUGAUAUUUAGUUUUCGUUUAAGUCUUUCGUCAUUUCUGUUAUCAUGUUUUCAGUUGUUGCUUUGUUAUUGUCUUUGAUUAUAUCUGAGUAGUGAACUGUAUUUCUGAGGAUGGGAUAGAAUAGUUGUGGUUUACUUGGUCGUUUUAGGUGGUUGAGUUUAGAAUUCUAGAAUCCCUUCUGGAUUAGUUGCGCUUAUUGCUUAUUUCACUGGCUAAUGUGGAGUAUGAGUCCAGACGUCCAGCGCUCAGAAAGCGUUUAAUGGGCGUUGGAUCCUAUUAAUUCUAGAGAUAUCUGACUCUACCCCAAGGGAUUCGCUGUAGAGAGGGUAUUGACUUUAACAUGUUGAUUCGAUAAUGCCUGCUUAGUUAGAAAUCGCUAAAGGGAUUUAGGUCAGUGUCUAGCUUUGCUUGAGGAUUUCUAUCACGGGAGUGAAUUAAUCUGUUGUUGAACUUGUUGUCUAGGGAUAGCUUCUGUGAAGUUUUGUCAACCGCCUGAAUAGAUUAAGGAGACCACACUAUUCGAUUACCCCAUCCUUAGGAAUCGUUUAUCCAUUCGAUUGCCUGUUAUCAUUUCUGCUUUGUUAUUCACCUCCCUGCUAUUGUCAUUUCUGCUUUUAGUUUCAUUUCAUUUCUGUCAUUGCAUACUAGGACUGUUAGAACCAACCAACUUUCUGCUUGGCUUGACUUAGGGCUUUCUGAUCAUAUCUCAUCUGUUUGCAUCACACCGGAUUGGAUUGACAUCCUAAAAUACUACAACGACAAGAUAGUGUUUUAGGGAUUAAUUGAGUAAAAAUCCUACUAUCAUAGAUAAAAAAAGCAUUGAAAAUGGUGCAGCUGACCAUCUGUCAAGGAUGAGAAUUGAAGAACCCCUUCGAUAGACGAUUCAAUGCCAGUAGAGCAGCGCAUGGUUGUAGAUUUCUUCGGAAGGAGCUAUAGUGGGAAAGAGUUCCACCAACUGAACGCUGCUGAAGAAGGGUCUCCAUGGUAUGCUGAUCACGUCAAUUACUUGGAAGUUGAUUCAUGCCAGAGAAAAGGCAACAUCAGUAGAAGAAAUGAGAUGCCUCAGAAUCCAAUCUUGGAAGUUGAUAUCUUUGAUGUAUGGGGGAUUGAUUUUAUGGGUCCAUUCCCAUCUUCAUACGGUAACAAGUAUAUACUGGUCGCCGUAGACUACGUAUCAAAUAGAGUCGAAGCUAUUGCUAGUCCUACUAACGAUGCAAAAGUUAUGCUGAAGCUGUUCAAAACCAUAAUCUUCCCGAGAUUUGGAGUUCUCAGGGUAGUAAUCAGUGAUGGUGGGAAGCAUUUCAUCAACAAGGUUUUUGAGAACCUCUUGAAGAAGUAUGGAGUAAAGCACAAGGUCACCACUCCCUAUCAUCCACAGACGAGCGAGCAGGUUGAAAUCUCCAAUAGGGAGAUAAAAACAAUUCUGGAAAAGACUGUUGGGACUACAAGGAAAGACUGGUCUGCAAAGCUAGAUGAUGCAUUAUGGGAUAAUAGGACAGCCUUCAAGACCCCCAUUGGUACAACUCUUUUCAAUCUUCUCUAUGGAAAAUCAUGUCACCUACCUGUUGAGCUCGAGUACAAAGCAAUGUGGGCGGUAAAACUUCUGAACUUUGACAUAAAAACUACUGAGGAGAAGCGAUUGAUCCAACUCAGUGACCUCGAUGAGAUCCGUCUAGAAGCUUAUGAGAGCUCUAAAAUCUACAAGGAGAGAACCAAGCUUUUCCAUGACAAGAAGAUCAUCACUAAGGAUUUCCAGGUUGGUGAUCAGGUGCUGCUGUUCAACUCUCUCUUGAAAUUCUUUCCAGGAAAACUUAAAUCCAGAUGGUCUGGCCCCUUCUGUAUCACUGAGGUCCGUCCUUAUGGAGCAGUCACUCUAGCUGGUAAGAGUGGAGACUUCACAGUAAAUGGUCAAAGGCUCAAGAAAUACUUAGCAGAUCAAAUCCUUCCAGACGUGACAUCGGUUCAUCUCCAGGAACUUCUUGAUGAUUAAAGGAGUAAAAGAG